GAUGAACGCUGGCGGCGUGCCUAAUACAUGCAAGUCGAGCGAACGGACGUGGAGCUUGCUUCUCUGUUGUUAGCGGCGGACGGGUGAGUAACAUGUGUAUAACCUACCUAUACGACUGGGAUAUCUUCGGGAAAUCGUAGCUAAUACCGGAUAAUUUUUUGAACCGCAUGGUUCAAAAGUGAAAGACGGUCUUGCUGUAACUAAUAGAUGGUUCAGGGCUGCAUUAGCUAGUUGGUAAGGUAACGGCUUACCAAGGCAACUAUGCAUAGCCGACCUGAGAGCGUGAUCGGCCACACUGGAACUGAGAGACGGCCCAAUGACCUACAUAGGGCAGCAGUAGGUACGCUUCCGCAAUGUGCGAAAGCCUAACGGAGCAACGCGGCGUUAGCGAUGAAGGGCUGCGGAUCGUAAAACGCUGUUAGUAGUGAAGAACAUAUUUGUAAGUAACCGUGCACAUCUUGACGGGACCUAAACAGAAAACCACGGCUAACUACGG
This 496-nucleotide ribosomal RNA is filed under the name uncultured bacterium. RNAcentral's name for it is "partial 16S ribosomal RNA". It matches the Rfam family "Bacterial small subunit ribosomal RNA", at positions 28 to 506 of the family's 1533-position model. The record is from RNAcentral.